RNAcentral lists this microRNA precursor (75 nucleotides) under Apis mellifera (honey bee). RNAcentral's name for it is "microRNA ame-mir-6038 precursor". The record is from miRBase by way of RNAcentral. Lineage: Eukaryota; Metazoa; Arthropoda; Insecta; Hymenoptera; Apidae.
AAAGCCGUCUUAUGUUUCUGUCUUAUUUCAUUGUAAAAUUGCGAUAUGAAAUAUGACAUAAACUUAAGCUGGGUA